RNAcentral lists this long non-coding RNA (1074 nucleotides) under Homo sapiens (human). RNAcentral's name for it is "PREDICTED lncRNA (TCONS_00148486)". The record is from RNAcentral. Lineage: Eukaryota; Metazoa; Chordata; Mammalia; Primates; Hominidae.
AUGCAAAUGAACAUUCCCCUUGGCUGGCGGCUUCAUUUUGUCUGCUCCUUAAUGUACACGUGGCUGGCCAAGAAGGGAAGAUGGAGCCGCCAUUUUCUAGCUGCCAUGUCUAGUCCCAGGUAGUUCUUUCCUGCCGGCAUUCACCGUGAAAGCUCCCAGCGUGCUUGUCUAUGUCUGCAGCUCAACUUCACAGGCUGCUCUUUGUUAGAAAAUGAUUUGGGGCAGCUUUUCAUUAAAAGAAAAACGUUACCAAGGACUUCUGGACUAUCUGCCUAAAUCUAUGCCUUGAUAGGUCUUCAGUUACUCAUGGUGAAACAUAUAGAGGGAGCCCAAGCCAAGAAGAGAGGUCUGGUAUCAAAGAUUUGCUGAAUUCACAAUUGAAGAGGCUUAUGUCAGUCCCUUAGAAAGAAUUUGAGGACUCCUCGGAAAAUUGCUGAGUUGAGUAAAUAUUUCCUUCCAUAAAGGUGAAGCCUUGAUGACUGUGGUUUGAAUUCACUGGGAAAAGUGGAAUCGUCAAGAGACCCGGGCUAACUAAAUCCCUCUGGGAGCCUCAGCAGCUGAGGCCAUCACUCAAAAUUAAGGCUCAACUCAGCUGUACUUCUCACCACGUGGCAAAGGAUGGACCAAAGGCUGGGAGCAACUGGGAGUGUCUGGGAACACUUUCUGGUUGUCACAGUGAUCAGCAGCCAGGAGCAGCCUGCAAUGUGAAGACAGUCCUGUGGGACAGUCCUAGGCUACAGGGAACUGUCCUGCAUCCUGCAUGUCUUAUAAACAUCCUACUGGACGUCGAUGUUUGACUGUGCCCCAAGGAAGCCACACAAACUGUGUAGCCAGACAGUCUGUCUGGGAGGAGAAGGAAGGAAUUUAUCUACCAGCUCCCAUCUCUCAUGGACCAAAUUCUUCCCCACUGUACAUAACUCCAUAUCACUUUCAGAUUGCAUAAGGGUGAGAGCUGAAUGUAGGCUCCAACAGGAAGACGGCAUUGAAGCCUGGUUGCUUGUUACUACUCAGAAUGCCAUCUACAAAAGGAAAUUAUGUAAAAAGCAAUAAAGAACCCCUUUUGUUCUUGCAGGA